UAUCGGCAGUGACGACACGGAGCUGCGAUACUCCUCCCAAUACGAGGAACGCCUGGACCCUUUCUCCUCCUUCAGCAAGAGGGAGCGGCAGAGGAAGUACCUGGGCCUGAGCCCCUGGGACAAGGCCACACUUGGCAUGGGCCGUCUGAUUCUCUCCAACAAGGUGGCCCGCACCAUCGGCUUCUUCUACACCUUGUUCCUGCACUGCCUGGUCUUUCUGGUG
Non-coding RNA from Mus caroli (Ryukyu mouse), 223 nucleotides. NCBI's taxonomy places the organism in Eukaryota, Metazoa, Chordata, Mammalia, Rodentia, Muridae. The record is from RefSeq and is a predicted model, not a curated record.